Molecule: ribosomal RNA, 86 nt
Filed under: Escherichia coli
Lineage: Bacteria; Pseudomonadati; Pseudomonadota; Gammaproteobacteria; Enterobacterales; Enterobacteriaceae
Description: partial 23S ribosomal RNA
Source: RNAcentral
UUGAGAGGCCGGGUGUGUAAGCGCAGCGAUGCGGUGAGCUAAGCGGUACUAAUGAACCGAGGGGCUUAACCUUACAACGCCGAAGC